AAAGCUUCUUCCCCCUCAGCUUCAAAAAAAAGAAAAAAAAUGCACACGCAUACCUCUCCCCAUCCUCUCUCUCGGUUCCUCCGGAGUCCCAACACGGUGGCGGACGAAGCGACGACGCCCUUCCCUCUCCACAUCUGGCGUCGCGCCGGCCGGGAUGCCGUGGCGACCGCCCUCCAGUUCACCGGCGACGGCCUCCGCCUCCGCCUCCUCCUCGCGCAUCCCUCCGCCUCCCUCUCGCUGUCCUCGCCAGCGCUUCCCCUUGUGACGAUCUACCAGCGUCGCUCCUUCUCCGCCAGCCAGAUACCUGAGCCAAAUCCACCGGGCAUUCGCUCCCCUCUGAGGGCCGACCGGAGAAGGAUCUUGCGUCCUGUGCAACUCCCUCGCAGUUCGAAGUUCUGGAAUAUGACCUUCCAUGUGCAGCAGCAGUGCUUACAGUGUCCGAUUUAGAGCAUGAGGUAAGCAAGAGCAUUCCUUAGUCCAAACUUUUUAUUAUUCGUGCAACACUUUAUUUUAACUCAUGGAUGCCCACAAUAACCAAAUCUCUACGCUGCAGCUACUAUAUUUCUCUUCACCCAUUGGGCAGAACUUGAAUAUGGCUCCCGUCAUAUAUUUUUCUGUACUGAAUCUUUUUCAAAACAUGUUUAGCGACCACUGCACUUUUGUAAUGAAAAUAUUGAAAACAUGUUUACUGACCACUACACUUUUGUAAUGAAACAAAGAAGACAUACAGACACAAUCUUAAUUCUUACAAGGACAGGAAGCCGGUGACAAAUUUUUGGCCCUUUCAUGAACUAGGAUGGAUUUCCUCCUCAAUGAAAUGCCUCGAAUUAAUUAUCACUGAAAUAUUGUUUCCUGAAUAUGGAGGUUGCACAUAUGUUGGUUUUCAAGCUGACAUGUUAUCAUACAGUAUCGAGUUUGUCUGUAUAUAUGGAACUAAUGGGAUUCCUUGCUCCUGUCUAUGAAGGUUAUGGCCAGACAAAAGAGUUUGUUUCCUGUUGUAAUUUUGUACAGAUCCUAUCUCUUAUAGGACAUCAACAAAAAGAAGGGUUAGCCUUGAAAUUGUUUGCAUAGGUGGUACCAGUAAUAUCUGUGCUUUGUGCUUUGUUCAGUUAAGAUUUACUAUUUUGUCAUGUUGGCUCCACCAUUUGGUUCUGGGCAUGAUAUUCUCCUGUUAGGUUCAGCUAGCGAUAUUAUAUAAUCUUGCUUGAUUAUCACUGUCUUCGAGUAGAGAUUCUUGAUGAUGUAGUUCCUUUAAAAUUUCCAUGUCUAUUUAGUAGUUGGUAUUAAUGUUAGUAUGUUUGAUGUGCUCCUGCUCUAAAGCUAAUGCUACUUAACGUGUAGCAUGCUAAAUUUUUUUAUUCUAUGCCAUCUGUAAUUUUUUCAAACAAUAAAUUUCAGGCAUUAGCGGAGCCAAAAGCAUUUAGGAGCCCACAAAAUUUUUAUUGUGCAAAAAUAUUUAGAUAGAAAAUUACACGGAUCUACUUUGAUAUAAAGAUUUUCUUUUUGAACGUUAGCCACGAGCCCGGCCGGCCGCCCGGGUGGCCGGGCGGUGCCUCCAUCAGUAUAUAGAGGACAAAGAGUGCUUUUUCCUUGGGCUAAUCCUGCUGCAUAGCAUUAGAGGCAAAAAAAAGAUGCUUUACUCAAUACAGAUCCCUGGUGAGGAUUCUUGCUACGGGCGCUGCUCAUUUGCAGUGGUUGUCAAUAAAUAUCCAUGCUGAGGGUUGAUGCUACAUGUGCUGGUGGUUUCUUCGGCGUCACGAAAUUUAAUUUCAAUAUAUAAGUGCAGAACUAUAGGUCAAUUCUGGAUUGAUUUAGUUGAUAAUUCAGUCUUCGUGUUGAUGCUAUUCUAUCUAUGUUUUCCCAGCUUUCAUAUUCUUUGCUUUCCAUCUUGGUGACUGUACUCAGCUCAGUGGUGAUAGGGUGCUGCUAAUACAUGUAACAGAUAGAGUUUGUAGCUACAAUGCAGAGUUUUUAUUACUAUGUUUCUAUUGCCAAUCCUGUAGUCUAUGUAAUAGCACAUACUACUACCAAGAACUUCACCUAGAAUGGAAUUGCUGCUUUUUUGGGUAUUCUCUCCAUAUCUACAUUUCCCGGGAACUUUCAUGCUAUUUCUCCUUUUUACAUUAUUACAAUCCAGAGUUUACAUUAUUCUUUUGUUUGUUCCCAGCCUCCCAGGUAUCAGAAUAGACAACUAUUUCUCCAUUUCUAUUUUUGCUUUUCAUGUUCACAGGUGUCCACCAUGGCUUCUGACUUCCCUCCAAGAUUCCAGUAUCAUGCAAGGUGCAGUACCAUCUGUGUUCAUGCUGCAAGGAGAUGUGAUGGAUCAUUAUUCAUUACCUUUGUUUUAGAAAUACCUGGUUUUCCACAUAUUUAGUUUGUAUCACUGUUUGUAGUGCAUAUUUUUCUUUCUUAUAUUUGUCUGUACAUUAAGUACCUUUCUCUAUUCAUGAAUUUGCAUGAAAGCUUUUUGCCUGCUAGCUUGUUACCUGUUGGUCUAAGACACUUUAUAGAGGUAUAGAAAUAAAAAAUAGUGUCAUUUGCUGGUUUCUCCAUGAAGGCUUGAGAUUACAGCGAGGUACAGUUCAUAGCACACCAGCUUUCCUUUUUGGGUUUUGUCCUCAGCUCAUUGCUUACGUACAUAUCUUUUAAAAAUCUUGAUCUUUGGUUAUUAAGAUUUUGUCCCGGGAAAAAAAGCUGCUCUACAAAAAAGUGAAAUCUUCAUGAUGAAAAUAUAAAUCAUCAGUGAAAAAAACAUUCAAACACAUAGUUUUAUUGGUACUGUCUUUUUCGUAAAUUAUUAUACCGAGAUCCUACUAUCCUUUUUCCCCUUUAUUGACCAUGAAUGACAAGGACCUACUGUCCUUUUUCUGCCUUCACAUGCUGCAUAUGUUCGGAUUUAAGAGAUCUCGUACCAAAAAACAGGGAUAUAGUUGCUGAUAUUUUUUCCCCAUGAAUGUCAAUAUUUUGACACAGGCUAUUUUUAACCUGUUCCUAACGGGCCGUUGUGUUGCUCUCCAUAUUGUAUUUCAUCAACUCAAGAUCAUUAUUGUGCUAUCUGUGUUAGGCUUCAACAGUUAAAGAGGAUCAAUGAGUACCUUAGCUAUCAGUGGUCAGGAUUCAUUGCUUUCAGCAUUGCUUAUUUAAGUCUAUUAUCCAUGACCUCCAUGUGUGCUUCUAAUGUUACUUCGUCACUUUAACUGCCUUGCUUAUCUAAGUAGUUGUGCAUGUCUGCUUUACCUAUUGUAUUAUCAGCAUAUUCCUUUUAUUAGAAUUAGAACUUAUUGUUAUUUCUAUAGUUAAGGCUUCAUUUACGGUCUCACCUCCUUUUCUUAACCGAAAAAAGAUUCAAAGAAGUGCUUCCUGUCUCUUUUGCAUGUUUGUAUAGUCGGUAGUGUCAUAUAUAACUGAAAAUUAUUAUGUACAUAAUGCUAUGUGCUUUUUUUGGUCAGACAGUACUGAAAAGAUUCUUCGAUGCUGAUAGCUGUACAUUCAUGACUAUGCAUAGGGCAAUGCCUGCAAGGAUGAAACUGGUUACAGUUAAGAGCAACCAUUGUAUAGACAUACAUUCAAUUGGUUGUGUUAUUCAUGCAAAUGUUUGAAUUCAGAUGUUUGCAUUUUUUUAUGCAUAAAAAUUUGUACAAACAUUUAGGUGGAGAGACAUUUCUAUGUGUUUUUCUCUCCUUUUUCCUUUUAUGAUCUUUUCUUGGAUUUUGUUAUCACUUCUCACCACAUUUCCUUCCUAUAUAUGCCUCGUGAUCUUGUACAUAUGAUAUAUGAUGUUAGUUGUCCUUGUCAUUUUAUUAUUUUUCUACAAAGAAGCGGCGAUAACAUGUCACAUAUUUUUCCCUUUUAUUAUUUUUCAACUGUUUACAGGAACAUGUUUCUACAAUGGCAUCUUCUCAUCCUGUGUGGUGUAUGCCCACAUAUAUGUGUCAGUUCUACCAAUGAGUGUUUAAAUUAACUUGGAGAAGGUAGACAAUGAUGGAAGGUUCUGUGAGUCUUCAAAAAUGUUUCUAAACAUUUUUUGGCAGGUUCCUUAAUUCUUCUUUAUGUUUGUAUGGGCAACCUACAUGGUUUGAGAUCAUUUCAGAUUACAUCAGAGCUUCCAUGAAAGCACUUUUGGUGUAUGGUGCAUGUGACGAAAUUAACUGAUAAGCUCAACUGAACUGCCCAAGGCUCUAAUAAGUCAGGUGCACAGGUUCAUGUGCUGCUCUAUUGAUUUUUAUUGUUUUAAUUCUAGCUAUAUAAGUCCACCCAACAGCAUUGCCUAAUUGCAGUCAAGCGCAUAUGGAUUAGGGGAGGUGUGAUUGCCUGUUUACUUUUUUUGGUACCUGAUUUGUACAGCAACAUUGGAAGCCUUGUUUUUUCUGAAAGGUUCCAUGCAUAUAGGUUGUUCUAAUUCAGCAUGCCAGAUUAGGGGAGGAGUGAUUGCCUGUUUAUUUUUUUCUACCUGAACAUUGGGCGCCUUGUCUCUUUAAACGGUUCCAUGCGUACAGUUUGGUCUAAUUCAACAUGGCUAAUUGAUUAGUAUUGUUUCUCAACUUUACCUAAAAUAAUGUCUGAUAAUGAUAAUCCUUCAAAGACUGCAGACAGGGUGGUUCAAAAAAGACUACAGACGCUUGGAGUUUGACCAGAAAUAUGACACACCAUUGGUUGAAGUGGAUGUUGUCUUCCAUAAUUCACAAGUCUAUAUCCAAGUCUAACAAAGGCUGCAAUCCACUUACUAAUGACCCUGUAUAAUAUCUCUGUCCAACACUCUAUAAUGCUUUUGUAUAGACACUAUACUUCGCCAUGUACCAAACUUUAGUUGUUUUCUGCACCUAUAUAUUUGGGCUACAUAUCUGUGGUGCUAGCGGACUUAAACUCUAAAUUGGAUGUAAUAUUCCAUAUGUAUAAUUAUCCUCAUUAUAGUGGACUUUGGCCUCUCAAAA
Long non-coding RNA from Sorghum bicolor (sorghum), 4931 nucleotides. RefSeq lists it as uncharacterized. Lineage: Eukaryota; Viridiplantae; Streptophyta; Magnoliopsida; Poales; Poaceae. The transcript has 4 exons. The record is from RefSeq and is a predicted model, not a curated record.